This 2958-nucleotide unclassified non-coding RNA is filed under the name Hevea brasiliensis (rubber tree). Lineage: Eukaryota; Viridiplantae; Streptophyta; Magnoliopsida; Malpighiales; Euphorbiaceae. The record is from RNAcentral.
AAUUGAACAUGAACUCAAAAGCCAUCCCAACUCAAAUUACAAAACUACUCAAAUUACAAAACUUGUGCUAGAAAUAUUCGUCUCCUAUUGGGUUAUAUGGCAAUUGUGCUACUUGUUUUGAUUCAUGUUCUCAUCUAUGGUGUGUUACUUCUGAGUUUAUGGGUCUACAUGGUUAUACGAGUAGCACGCAAUCCAUAUCAAGACUUAUAUCUAUUAGUAGGUGAAGAUUUGCAGCACUCAAAGGAGCUAGCUGAAGAUGCAAUCCAAAGGCUAUUUGGCAGGCUGGAGUGAGCCACGGAAUCAAUCGUCUAGUUAGGUAUAUCAUUCUAGUAAAUCUGAGUUGUCUUUACAAUUUUAGAUCUCUAUAUAAAAUGUAUGAUUUUAGCAGUAAUUUUAAUGGUUUAAUUGUGAUAGUUUAGUCUAUAUUAAUGUAACUGAGUUGUAGAAAUAAUACUUAGUUGUUGGAUUUUGAAAGGGUUUUCAUUGAAAUUUUGAAAUUUAUUUAUGUAUUUCAUGAUUGAACAUGUUAGAAUAUUUGUUUAUUGCCUUUUUAAAUCUCCCACUCCCAUUUGUAAUUUUUGAUGCAAAGAGAGGUUUUGAUUUGUGUUAUUUGUAGAGGAAGAGAUAGGGAGAGGGAGAGAAUUUUUUAUUAAUAAUUUUUUUAUCAGCAUUAAGUCCAAUUUUGAAAUAUUUUAUUACAGUAUCUGAGAUGUAGAAAUAAUACAAAUACUCAUCUCUCUCAUCAUAGCAAAAUACCCAUCUCAUUCCCAGGAUGCUUUUGAGAUUAGCAUUGGCUAUUGAAUCUAUACUCAAAGCUUGUAAAUCAAAUUGUGUUGAUCUUAGUCCCAAGCUUCAGAUGGUUUCUUGACCUGCAUAUUUAAAUGGGUAGCUUGGAACUCAUAUCAAGAUCUUUACCAUUUGCUACUCCAAGCAUUUAAUGAGUUGAAGAGGCUCUCAAGAAAUGCAUUUGAAGCACUGAGGAGGGAGGCCAAUUUGAGGUGGGGAAACAGGAACUGAAUCAUCAAUCUUCUUCAUCUGUUAAAUAUUGUUUAGUCUUAAUUAUUGCUUAUUCAUUAAUAUUAUGUAAAUGACCUUGUUCAUAUUCCUUGCUGCUACUCUGACCAAAUUGGUGAUUAAUUUCUUUGUAUUUCUUGCCCAGCACUGUCCAUGGAUUCAACAAAGUUAAGCUUCUUGUUGUAACUUAAAGCUUGCUUGCUAUCAGUUCAGAUAUCUUGGGUCUUCGAUUGUACCAGGGUAAUUAGCAAAGCUGCUGGUUCAUAGUUAUUUUCUCUUGAAUCUUAGGUUUGGAUCUAUUCAGAAUCAUAGUUGUGUUGUGCAGUAGUUUUUUUGGGUCUUUGGUUAUGCAGCUUGAGUGGGAGCUUCUGCUACUAUUUAUAUUUUGGUUUGGUUUGGUUAUUUUUUAUUAUUAUUUUUUAAUUCUGAUUCUAUGCUUAUGGAAAUUUGCUCAGUGAGUGAAUCCCCUUGUUUAUAUACUGCCUGAUCUGUUUGUAGAGAUUUUUUUUUGGCAGAGAUUUUUUUUUUCUUUUUUCUAAUUAUAUGUCCUUUCUAAAUUCUGAAGCUAUUUGAUGCAUUUCCUUGUAUUUAUAGUACAUUGAACUACAUUGAUUUUAUGGAAAAUCCGAAGUUUGACUUAUUAUGCUUUAGAAAGAAUGAGGGUAACUUGGGUUAAAAUUUUUUAUUAUGAUUAUGCACGUCAGUUUAAUAGUACAAUGUCCAGCCUUGUUGAACAUACACUUUUGGUGUUCCUCCUGGCUCCUGUCAGGUAUUCUUCUAUGUAAACCUAUACAAUCCGUACAUGUAUAUGGGUUAACUGAUUGAAGGAACUCUAAGCUCAAAGAAAUGGCCGAGUCUAAAAUUUUGCUCAAAGUUGGCUCCUUUGAUUAAUACCUCCAGAUGAAUUGUGUGAGUUGGAGUGGAGGUUCUUGGAUUGCAUUUUACCUUAUUCAUCAAAUGAGGAUUUGUAUUUGUGUUCUUCUCUCUGUGUGUGGAUUAGUGUAGGAGUGUUGAGUUUUACUUUUGCUUCUUGAUAUUUGUGUUUGUGUUCGCUGGUUGGGCUUCUUAAGUCCUUUCAUUCCAAACACUUGAGAUGUAGAUAAAGCACUGGGAGAGGAACUGAUUAAAUUGUGGAAAUAAUGAAGGUAAGAUCUCCGGGAAUCUGCUGUUUUCUGAAAUUCUAUAAAUAAGUGAUGAGUUCUUUCAAAUUUAUGUGGUUCAGCUGAAUUGCCAUUGCAGUCUAAUGAAAAAAAAAUUUUGUUCUUUUGGUGCUUGUUUCCUUCUUUAGGCCUAUUAAGACAGUUGCCAUGAUUAGCUUUCCAUUAUUAAGAGUUGGUACAUGCAUUGUAGAUGGUAGUCUUGCUUUUUGAUUGAUAAUUUACCUGCUAAAGUCGUUGGUUAUAAAUUUUCCCCAAAAAGGUUUUAGUAUUGAAUUGCAUUUUGCAGAGCCAAUGCACAACAGCCGAAGCUUUUUGUUGGGAUGAUCCUCAUUCUCAUCUUUGCUGAAGCAUUGGCCCUCUAUGGCCUCAUUGUUGGCAUCAUCCUCUCCUCCCGAGCUGGUCAAUCAAGAGCUGACUAAAAGAGGUCCUUUUGGUAGUUGUGUCUGUUUUGAAUCUCUUGAUUCAUUGAGAAAUAUUCUAUAUUAGUUAAGAGUGGGAAAUUUUUUACCGAAAGGCCUCCAGUGUGAUUUCUGCCAAAUGAAUUGGUUCAGUCGUCAGUGCUAUUGCUGUAGACUGUAGUGAACUGCAAGGUUAGGUAUUAGUUCUUCCCUUAAAUUAUAAGCUGUGAUUGUUUCAUUAGUCAUGUUGUAUUUUGUGGAUUUAUUUGAAGUGCUUGUAGGAAUAUUGGCCCAUAUUUUCUCCCUAAUGGGUUUUGCGUGAGAUAAAAAUUGUGAAGCAACGGUCCUUUUAUUAACUGUUGGUUAGUUGAUGGUAACAAGUAUAA